UUUACGGUUUAUAACGAUCACGCCACGUUCGCUCCCACUUUUGUCGAUUUUCGCUCACUUAUCAGAGCGUAUAUAAGACGCCGGAGAUCUCGAUUCCGGCAUAACACAUCUUUUUGUGCAAAUCUAUUCUUUGUUUUCCACAUUUCUCCUCAAAAACCAACCAAAAACCAAAAAUGGGCGCUGAAAAGGUAUCCAUGAACAUCGUUGUCGUCGGACAAGUCCAAUCUGCCAAGGCCAUCAAGACCGUCGCCAAGGCCACCCCAGCCACCAGCCAAUUGAUGAACUGUUAAUUCAUGUAGUCCAUCGAUCUCAAACUCAAAAAUGCCAUAGCCCAAACAAUACGCAAAUUAUAAUAAUAUGUAGUAAAUAAAUGUAUAUUAUAAUUAACGUAUUGCCACUGCAAAAUAAACCACGAUUUUCCCGACAUUUAAA
This is a long non-coding RNA of Myzus persicae (green peach aphid), 432 nucleotides long. RefSeq lists it as uncharacterized. The transcript has 3 exons. The record is from RefSeq and is a predicted model, not a curated record. NCBI's taxonomy places the organism in Eukaryota, Metazoa, Arthropoda, Insecta, Hemiptera, Aphididae.